UCCAAUGGAUGUUUGACUAAGGACGUCACGUCCUGUGACAACGUCGAACUGACCUUCAUCAUGAAGG
This is a small RNA of Paraliobacillus sp. PM-2, 67 nucleotides long. It matches the Rfam family "Bacillaceae-1 RNA". NCBI's taxonomy places the organism in Bacteria, Bacillati, Bacillota, Bacilli, Caryophanales, Bacillaceae. The record is from Rfam.